RNAcentral lists this transfer RNA (87 nucleotides) under Cordylochernes scorpioides. Its description in RNAcentral is "tRNA-Tyr". It matches the Rfam family "tRNA". From Rfam's summary of the family: Transfer RNA (tRNA) molecules are approximately 80 nucleotides in length. Their secondary structure includes four short double-helical elements and three loops (D, anti-codon, and T loops). Lineage: Eukaryota; Metazoa; Arthropoda; Arachnida; Pseudoscorpiones; Chernetidae. The record is from RNAcentral.
UCCUCGAUGGCUCAGUUGGCAGAGCGGAGGACUGUAGAUGUUUCAACGGUGAUCCUUAGGUCGCUGGUUCAAAUCCGGCUCGAGGGA